Molecule: small nuclear RNA, 81 nt
Organism: Naja naja (Indian cobra)
Lineage: Eukaryota; Metazoa; Chordata; Lepidosauria; Squamata; Elapidae
Gene: U2
Rfam family: U2 spliceosomal RNA
About the family: U2 is a small nuclear RNA (snRNA) component of the spliceosome (involved in pre-mRNA splicing). Complementary binding between U2 snRNA (in an area lying towards the 5' end but 3' to hairpin I) and the branchpoint sequence (BPS) of the intron results the bulging out of an unpaired adenosine, on the BPS, which initiates a nucleophilic attack at the intronic 5' splice site, thus starting the first of two transesterification reactions that mediate splicing.
Source: Ensembl
AUCGCUUCUCAGCCUUUUGGCUAAGAUCAAGUGUAGUAUCUUAUAAAAUAAAAUUUACUGAAACUAAGUUCUCCAUCUCCU